RNAcentral lists this ribosomal RNA (468 nucleotides) under uncultured bacterium. RNAcentral describes it as "partial 16S ribosomal RNA". It matches the Rfam family "Bacterial small subunit ribosomal RNA", at positions 28 to 507 of the family's 1533-position model. The record is from RNAcentral.
GACGAACGCUGGCGGCGUGCUUAACACAUGCAAGUCGAACGGAAAGGCCCUGCUUUUGUGGGGUGCUCGAGUGGCGAACGGGUGAGUAACACGUGAGUAACCUGCCCUUGACUUUGGGAUAACUUCAGGAAACUGGGGCUAAUACCGGAUAGGAGCUCCUGCUGCAUGGUGGGGGAUGGAAAGUUUCGGCGGUUGGGGAUGGACUCGCGGCUUAUCAGCUUGUUGGUGGGGUAGUGGCUUACCAAGGCUUUGACGGGUAGCCGGCCUGAGAGGGUGACCGGCCACAUUGGGACUGAGAUACGGCCCAGACUCCUACGGGAGGCAGCAGUGGGGAAUAUUGCACAAUGGGCGGAAGCCUGAUGCAGCAACGCCGCGUGCGGGGUGACGGCCUUCGGGUUGUAAACCGCUUUCGCCUGUGACGAAGCGUGAGUGACGGUAAUGGGUAAAGAAGCACCGGCUAACUACGUG